CAAGAUUAGAGUUUGAUCAUGGCUCAGAUUGAACGCUGGCGGCAGGCUUAACACAUGCAAGUCGAGCGGAAACGAUGGUAGCUUGCUACCAGGCGUCGAGCGGCGGACGGGUGAGUAACGCGUAGGAAUUUGCCCAGUAGUGGGGGACAACUUAGGGAAACUUAAGCUAAUACCGCAUACGCCCUAAGGGGGAAAGCAGGGGAUCUUCGGACCUUGCGCUAUUGGAUGAGCCUGCGUCGGAUUAGCUAGUUGGUGAGGUAAUGGCUCACCAAGGCGACGAUCCGUAGCUGGUCUGAGAGGAUGAUCAGCCACACUGGGACUGAGACACGGCCCAGACUCCUACGGGAGGCAGCAGUGGGGAAUAUUGGAUAAUGGGCGCAAGCCUGAUCCAGCAAUACCGCGUGUGUGAAGAAGGCCUUAGGGUUGUAAAGCACUUUCAGCAGUGAAGAAAAGUAAGUAGUUAAUAACUGCUUACCCUGACGUUACCUACAGAAGAAGCACCGGCUAACUCCGUGCCAGCAGCCGCGGUAAUACGGAGGGUGCAAGCGUUAAUCGGAAUUACUGGGCGUAAAGCGCGCGUAGGUGGUUAGAUAAGUUGGAUGUGAAAGCCCCGGGCUUAACCUGGGAACUGCAUUCAAAACUGUCUAGCUAGAGUACGAUAGAGGGGGGUAGAAUUUCAGGUGUAGCGGUGAAAUGCGUAGAGAUCUGAAGGAAUACCAGUGGCGAAGGUGGCCCCCUGGAUUGAUACUGACACUGAGGUGCGAAAGCGUGGGUAGCAAACAGGAUUAGAUACCCUGGUAGUCCAUGCCGUAAACGAUGUCAACUAGCCGUUGGAAGACUUGAUCUUUUAGUGGCGCAGCUAACGCAAUAAGUUGACCGCCUGGGGAGUACGGCCGCAAGGUUAAAACUCAAAUGAAUUGACGGGGGCCCGCACAAGCGGUGGAGCAUGUGGUUUAAUUCGACGCAACGCGAAGAACCUUACCUACUCUCAACAUCCUCAGAACGAUUCAGAGAUGAAUUGGUGCCUUCGGGAACACUGAGACAGGUGCUGCAUGGCUGUCGUCAGCUCGUGUUGUGAAAUGUUGGGUAAGUCCCCGUAACGAGCGCAACCCUUGUCCUUAUUUGCCAAUCAUUUAGUUGGGUACUUUAAGGAGACUGCCGGUGACAAACCGGAGGAAGGCGGGGACGACGUCAAGUCAUCAUGGCCCUUACGAGUAGGGCUACACGCGUGCUACAAUGGCUGGUACAAACGGUUGCAAUCCCGCGAGGGCAAGCUAAUCCGAGAAACCUGGUCGUAGUCCGGAUCGCAGUCUGCAACUCGACUGCGUGAAGUCGGAAUCGCUAGUAAUCGUGAAUCAGAAUGUCACGGUGAAUACGUUCCCGGGCCUUGUACACACCGCCCGUCACACCAUGGGAGUGGGCUGCACCAGAAGUGGUUAGUUUAACCUUCGGGAGAACGAUCACCACGGUGUGGUUCAUGACUGGGGUGAAGUCGUAACAAGGUA
RNAcentral lists this ribosomal RNA (1505 nucleotides) under uncultured prokaryote. RNAcentral's name for it is "partial 16S ribosomal RNA". It matches the Rfam family "Bacterial small subunit ribosomal RNA". The record is from RNAcentral.